RNAcentral lists this ribosomal RNA (439 nucleotides) under uncultured Alphaproteobacteria bacterium. RNAcentral describes it as "bacterial SSU rRNA". It matches the Rfam family "Bacterial small subunit ribosomal RNA", at positions 29 to 505 of the family's 1533-position model. The record is from RNAcentral. Lineage: Bacteria; Pseudomonadati; Pseudomonadota; Alphaproteobacteria.
AACGAACGCUGGCGGCAGGCUUAACACAUGCAAGUCGAACGAGAAGCUUCUUCGGAAGUGGACAGUGGCAGACGGGUGAGUAACGCGUGGGAAUUUGCCCAGAGGUUUGGAACAACCAUUGGAAACGAUGGCUAAUACCGGAUAAGCCCUUCGGGGGAAAGAUUUAUCGCCUUUGGAUAAGCCCGCGUAAGAUUAGCUAGUUGGUGAGGUAACGGCUCACCAAGGCGACGAUCUUUAGCUGGUCUGAGAGGAUGAUCAGCCACAUUGGGACUGAGACACGGCCCAGACUCCUACGGGAGGCAGCAGUGGGGAAUAUUGCGCAAUGGGGGAAACCCUGACGCAGCCAUGCCGCGUGAGUGACGAAGGCCUUAGGGUUGUAAAGCUCUUUCGCUAGGGAAGAUAAUGACGGUACCUAGUAAAGAAGCCCCGGCUAACUCCG